This 2351-nucleotide ribosomal RNA is filed under the name Listeria monocytogenes. RNAcentral's name for it is "partial 23S ribosomal RNA". It matches the Rfam family "Bacterial large subunit ribosomal RNA", at positions 307 to 2649 of the family's 2925-position model. The record is from RNAcentral. Lineage: Bacteria; Bacillati; Bacillota; Bacilli; Caryophanales; Listeriaceae.
ACUCUAUACGGAGUUACAAAAGAAAGUUAUAAAUGAAGCGGUCUGGAAAGGCCCGCCAAAGACGGUAACAGCCCGGUAGUUGAAAUGGCUUUCCCUCCAGAGUGGAUCCUGAGUACGGCGGAACACGUGAAAUUCCGUCGGAAUCCGGGAGGACCAUCUCCCAAGGCUAAAUACUCCCUAGUGACCGAUAGUGAACCAGUACCGUGAGGGAAAGGUGAAAAGCACCCCGGAAGGGGAGUGAAACAGUUCCUGAAACCGUGUGCCUACAAGUAGUUAGAGCCCGUUAAUGGGUGAUAGCGUGCCUUUUGUAGAAUGAACCGGCGAGUUACGAUUUGUUGCAAGGUUAAGCGGAAAAAGCGGAGCCGUAGCGAAAGCGAGUCUGAAUAGGGCGCAUAAGUAACAGGUCGUAGACCCGAAACCAGGUGAUCUACCCAUGUCCAGGAUGAAGGUAAGGUAAUACUUACUGGAGGUCCGAACCCACGCACGUUGAAAAGUGCGGGGAUGAGGUGUGGGUAGCGGAGAAAUUCCAAUCGAACUUGGAGAUAGCUGGUUCUCUCCGAAAUAGCUUUAGGGCUAGCCUCGAGGUAAAGAGUCAUGGAGGUAGAGCACUGUUUGGACUAGGGGCCCUUCUCGGGUUACCGAAUUCAGAUAAACUCCGAAUGCCAUGUACUUAUACUCGGGAGUCAGACUGCGAGUGAUAAGAUCCGUAGUCGAAAGGGAAACAGCCCAGACCACCAGUUAAGGUCCCCAAAUAUAUGUUAAGUGGAAAAGGAUGUGGGGUUGCUUAGACAACCAGGAUGUUGGCUUAGAAGCAGCCACCAUUGAAAGAGUGCGUAAUAGCUCACUGGUCGAGUGACCCCGCGCCGAAAAUGUACCGGGGCUAAACAUAUUACCGAAACUGUGGAUGAACCUCUUUAGAGGUUCGUGGUAGGAGAGCGUUCUAAGGGCGGUGAAGUCAGACCGGAAGGACUGGUGGAGCGCUUAGAAGUGAGAAUGCCGGUAUGAGUAGCGAAAGAAGGGUGAGAAUCCCUUCCACCGAAUAUCUAAGGUUUCCUGAGGAAGGCUCGUCCGCUCAGGGUUAGUCGGGACCUAAGCCGAGGCCGAUAGGCGUAGGCGAUGGACAACAGGUAGAGAUUCCUGUACCAGUGCUAAUUGUUUAACCGAUGGGGUGACACAGAAGGAUAGGGAAUCGCACGAAUGGAAAUGUGCGUCCAAGCAGUGAGUGUGAGAAGUAGGCAAAUCCGCUUCUCGCGAAGCAUGAGCUGUGAUGGGGAAGGAAAUUAAGUACGGAAGUUCCUGAUUUCACGCUGUCAAGAAAAGCCUCUAGGAAGAGUAGUACUGCCCGUACCGCAAACCGACACAGGUAGAUGAGGAGAGAAUCCUAAGGUGAGCGAGAGAACUCUCGUUAAGGAACUCGGCAAAAUGACCCCGUAACUUCGGGAGAAGGGGUGCUCUAUUAGGGUGCAAGCCCGAGAGAGCCGCAGUGAAUAGGCCCAGGCGACUGUUUAGCAAAAACACAGGUCUCUGCAAAACCGUAAGGUGACGUAUAGGGGCUGACGCCUGCCCGGUGCUGGAAGGUUAAGAGGAGUGCUUAGCUUCGGCGAAGGUACGAAUUGAAGCCCCAGUAAACGGCGGCCGUAACUAUAACGGUCCUAAGGUAGCGAAAUUCCUUGUCGGGUAAGUUCCGACCCGCACGAAAGGCGCAACGAUCUGGGCACUGUCUCAACGAGAGACUCGGUGAAAUUAUAGUACCUGUGAAGAUGCAGGUUACCCGCGACAGGACGGAAAGACCCCGUGGAGCUUUACUGCAACCUGAUAUGGAAUGUUUGUACCGCUUGUACAGGAUAGGUAGGAGCCGAAGAGACGUGUGCGCUAGCAUACGAGGAGGCAAUGGUGGGAUACUACCCUGGCUGUAUGACCAUUCUAACCCGCCACGCUUAGCGCGUGGGGAGACAGUGUCAGGUGGGCAGUUUGACUGGGGCGGUCGCCUCCUAAAGAGUAACGGAGGCGCCCAAAGGUUCCCUCAGAAUGGAUGGAAAUCAUUCGCAGAGUGUAAAGGCACAAGGGAGCUUGACUGCGAGACUGACAAGUCGAGCAGGGACGAAAGUCGGGCUUAGUGAUCCGGUGGUUCCGCAUGGAAGGGCCAUCGCUCAACGGAUAAAAGCUACCCCGGGGAUAACAGGCUUAUCUCCCCCAAGAGUCCACAUCGACGGGGAGGUUUGGCACCUCGAUGUCGGCUCGUCGCAUCCUGGGGCUGUAGUCGGUCCCAAGGGUUGGGCUGUUCGCCCAUUAAAGCGGCACGCGAGCUGGGUUCAGAACGUCGUGAGACAGUUCGGUCCCUAUCCGUCGCG